RNAcentral lists this ribosomal RNA (429 nucleotides) under Acidobacteriota bacterium. Its description in RNAcentral is "Acidobacteria bacterium partial 16S ribosomal RNA". It matches the Rfam family "Bacterial small subunit ribosomal RNA", at positions 355 to 776 of the family's 1533-position model. Lineage: Bacteria; Pseudomonadati; Acidobacteriota. The record is from RNAcentral.
UGGGGAAUUUUGGACAAUGGGGGAAACCCUGAUCCAGCCAUCCCGCGUGUGCGAUGAAGGCCUUCGGGUUGUAAAGCACUUUUGGCAGGAAAGAAACGUCAUGGGUUAAUACCCCGUGAAACUGACGGUACCUGCAGAAUAAGCACCGGCUAACUACGUGCCAGCAGCCGCGGUAAUACGUAGGGUGCAAGCGUUAAUCGGAAUUACUGGGCGUAAAGCGUGCGCAGGCGGUUCGGAAAGAAAGAUGUGAAAUCCCAGAGCUCAACUUUGGAACUGCAUUUUUAACUACCGGGCUAGGGUGUGUCAGAGGGAGGUCGAAUUCCGCGUGUAGCAGUGAAAUGCGUAGAUAUGCGGAGGAACACCGAUGGCGAAGGCAGCCUCCUGGGAUAACACUGACGCUCAUGCACGAAAGCGUGGGGAGCAAACAGG